UGGGGGUGGGGGGGUGGGGGUGUAGAUGAGUUAGCUUAGCAUUUAGCAUUAGUUCCACAACAUAAUUCAUGUUGGCAUUUCAGACUGUUCUGUAAGUAAAGGAAUAAUUUGUACAACCAAGACAUGUGAGAGGCAGACAGGUGAGAAGUAGACAGGUGAGAGGCAGACAGGUGGGAUACAGACAGGUGAGAAACAGACGGGGUGCUGCUGUGAAGCCAUCAACAUGUUCCCAUAGCUACCAGAGCAGAUUAACACCAAAACUUGACCUACUGCUGUAUUUACCCCCUACUUCAACAAGCCCCGCCCUCACAUGCACCUGACACCCGACAGGUUAAAGCACACGUCUGUUUGGUUGGUUGACUCAGGUGUAUUUGCUCCUGAUUGUGACGGGAGACAGCAGCUUUAUGAAACAUUCAGCAAACAGUUUGCAUCUGUAAUGAUAACCUGUGACUUUAUCUGUCUCACCUGGUGAGGUCACCUGUGACUUUACCUGUCUCACCUGGUGAGGUCACCUGUGACUUUACCUGUCUCACCUGAUGAGGUCACCUGUGACUUUACCUGUCUCACCUGGUGAGGUCUCAUCUGAUGAGGUCACCUGUGACUUUACCUGUCUCACCUGGUGAGGUCACCUGUGACUUUACCUGUCUCACCUGAUGAGGUCACCUGUGACUUUACCUAUCUCACCUGGUGAGGUCUCACCUGAUGAGGUCACCUGUGACUUUACCUGUCUUACCUGGUGAGGUCUCACCUGAGGAGGUCACCUGUGACUUUACCUGUCUCACCUGGUGAGGUCUCACCUGAUGAGGUCACCUGUGACUUUACCUGUCUCACCUGAGGAGGUCACCUGUGACUUUACCCGUCUCACCUGGUGAGGUCUCACCUGGUGAAGUCACCUGUGACUUUACCUGUCUCACCUGGUGUGGUCUCACCUGAGGAGGUCACCUGUGACUUUACCUGUCUCACCUGGUGUGGUCUCACCUGAGAAGGUCACCUGUGACUUUACCUGUCUCACCUGGUGAGGUCUCACCUGGUGAGGUCACCUGUGACUUUACCUGUCUCACCUGAUGAGGUCACCUGUGACUUUACCCGUCUCACCUGGUGAGGUCUCACCUGAUGAGGUCACCUGUGACUUUACCUGUCUCACCUGGUGUGGUCUCACCUGAGGAGGUCACCUGUGACUUUACCUGUCUCACCUGGUGAGGUCUCACCUGAUGAGGUCACCUGUGACUUUACCUGUCUCACCUGAUGAGGUCACCUGUGACUUUACCUGUCUCACCUGGUGAGGUCACCUGUGACUUUACCUGUCUCACCUGAUGAGGUCACCUGUGACUUUACCUGUCUCACCUGGUGAGGUCUCACCUGAUGAGGUCACCUGUGACUUUACCUGUCUCACCUGAUGAGGUCACCUGUGACUUUACCUGUCUCACCUGGUGAGGUCUCACCUGGUGAGGUCACCUGUGACUUUACCUGUCUCACCUGAUGAGGUCACCUGUGACUUUACCUGUCUCACCUGGUGAGGUCUCAUCUGAUGAGGUCACCUGUGACUUUACCUGUCUCACCUGGUGAGGUCACCUGUGACUUUACCUGUCUCACCUGAUGAGGUCACCUGUGACUUUACCUGUCUCACCUGGUGAGGUCACCUGUGACUUUACCUGUUUCACCUGGUGAGGUCACCUGUGACUUUAGCUGUUUCACCUGGUGGCUUUACCUGUCUCACCUGGUGAGGUCACCUGUGACUUUAGCUGUUUCACCUGGUGGCUUUACCUGUCUCACCUGGUGAGGUCACCUGUGACUUUACCUGUUUCAACUGAUGAGGUCACCUGUGACUUUACCUAUCUCACCUGGUGGCUUUACCUAUGUCACCUGGUGAGGUCACCUGUGACUUUACCUCUCUCUCACCUAGUAAGGUCUCACCUGAUGAGGUCACCUGGUGGCUUUACCUGUUUUAUCUGGUGUGGUCUCACCUAAUGAGGUCACCUGUAACUUUACCUGUCUCACCUGGUGGCUUUACCUGUCUCACCUGGUGAGAUCACCUGUGACUUUACCUGUCUCACCUGGUGGCUUUACCUGUUUCACCUGGUGUGAGCUCACCUGGUGAAGUCUCACCUAAUGAGGUCACCUGUGACUUUACCUGUCUCACCUGGUGGCUUUACCUGUUUCACCUGGUGUGGGCUCACCUGGUGAAGUCUCACCUAAUGAGGUCACCUGUGACUUUACCUGUCUCACCUGGUGGCUUUACCUGUCUCACCUGGUGAGAUCACCUGUGACUUUACCUGUCUCACCUGGUGGCUUUACCUGUUUCACCUGGUGUGGGCUCACCUGGUGAAGUCUCACCUAAUGAGGUCACCUGUGACUUUACCUGUCCCACCUGGUGAGGAUCUUUGGUUCUGACAUUCCGGUGCAAACUGUUUCUCCUGUGAAAUGUAAAAUAGCAUGAUGCUAACACUGUAACCACUCACUGUAUAGAAGCUAAUGCUGUGUCUCAGUUCACGCCUUCAUACUCACACUGACAGUAAAGUGGAGUGCACUGUAAUGGUGAACAAACAAGCAGCAGAUGUUUUGGCGGGUGACAAUCACGAUCAGUUGUUAAUGAUAAUAGUCCGCCCAGUUACAGUUCGCCAAUACUGAAGAAGACGAAGAAGAAGCGGUCAAAUGUUGCUACGUCACUUCCUGUUAGCUCACAACGGCCGUAUUUGAUUUGAGAUGACGCUACCCUUGAAACUCACGUACCACGCAAAUAAGUACACAGUGUGUACUACAUGUUAGUGUACUAAGGAAAGGAUGUGAACUGAGACACAGCUUAAAACUCAGCUCUGUAUUUACCCAUAAUGCAAUAGUAAUGUGCCAUUCUCUCAUCUCGCCAUGGAAACCCUUAUUAUGAAUUAUUUUACUCACCUGUCUGUGUAUUUAUUGUUUUUUGUCUAUUUAUUUAUUUAUUUGUUUGUCUGUAAUCCCAAACAGACUGACCCCUCCCUCUGGUGUCACGUUACAGACUGACCCCUCCCCCAGUGUCACGUUACAGACUGACCCCUCCCCCUGUGUUUGUUACUGAUUGACCAUUCCCCCUGGUGUCACGUUACAGACUGACCCCUCCCCCUGUGUUUGUUACUGAUUGACCAUUCCCCCUGGUGUCACAUUACAGACUGACCUUUCCCCCAGUGUCACAUUACAGACUGACCCCUCCCCCAGUGUCACGUUACAGACUGACCCCUCCCCCAGUGUCACGUUACAGACUGACCCCUCCCCCUGUGUUUGUUACUGAUUGACCAUUCCCCCUGGUGUCACGUUACAGACUGACGCCUCCCCCUGUGAAUGCUACAGAUUGACCACUCCCCCUGGUGUCACAUUACAGACUGACCUUUCCCCCAGUGUCACAUUACAGACUGACCCCUCCCCCAGUGUCACAUUACAGACUGACCCCUCCCCCAGUGUCACGUUACAGACUGACCCCUCCCCAGUGUCACGUUACAGACUGACCCCUCCCCCUGUGUUUGUUACAGAUUGACCACUCCCCCUGGUGUCACGUUACAGACUGACGCCUCCCCCUGUGAAUGCUACAGACUGACCCCUCCCCCUGUGUUUGUUACAGAUUGACCACUCCCCCUGGUGUCACAUUACAGACUGACCUUUCCCCCAGUGUCACAUUACAGACUGACCCCUCCCCCAGUGUCACGUUACAGACUGACCCCUCCCCAGUGUCACGUUACAGACUGACCCCUCCCCCUGUGUUUGUUACAGAUUGACCACUCCCCCUGGUGUCACGUUACAGACUGACGCCUCCCCCUGUGAAUGCUACAGACUGACCCCUCCCCCUGUGUUUGUUACAGAUUGACCACUCCCCCUGGUGUCACAUUACAGACUGACGCCUCCCCCUGUGAAUGCUACAGAUUGACCACUCCCCCUGGUGUCACAUUACAGACUGACGCCUCCCCCUGUGAAUGCUACAGAUUGACCACUCCCCCUGGUGUCACGUUACAGACUGACCUUUCCCCCAGUGUCACGUUACAGACUGACCUUUCCCCCAGUGUCACGUUACAGACUGACCCCUCCCCCUGUGUUUGUUACAGAUUCACCACUCCCCCAGUGAAUGUUACAGACUAACCCCUCCCCCUGUGAAUGCUACAGAUUGACCACUCCCCCUGGUGUCACAUUACAGACUGACCUUUCCCCCCGUGUCACGUUACAGACUGACCUUUCCCCCCGUGUCACGUUACAGACUGACCUCUCCCCCCGUGUCACGUUACAGACUGACCUCUCCCCCGUGUCACGUUACAGACUGACCUUUCCCCCAGUGUCACAUUACAGACUGACCUUUCCCCCAGUGUCACGUUACAGACUGACCUCUCCCCCCGUGUCACGUUACAGACUGACCUUUCCCCCAUGUCACAUUAAAGACUGACCUCUCCCCCCGUGUCACGUUACAGACUGACCUCUCCCCCCGUGUCACGUUACAGACUGACCCCUCCCCCCGUGUCACGUUACAGACUGACCUUUCCCCCAGUGUCACGUUACAGACUGACCUUUCCCCCAGUGUCACGUUACAGACUGACCCCUCCCCCCGUGUCACGUUACAGACUGACCUUUCCCCCAGUGUCACGUUACAGACUGACCCCUCCCCCCGUGUCACGUUACAGACUGACCUCUCCCCCCGUGUCACGUUACAGACUGACCUCUCCCCCGUGUCACGUUACAGACUGACCUUUCCCCCAGUGUCACGUUACAGACUGACCCCUCCCCCCGUGUCACGUUACAGACUGACCUUUCCCAGUGUCACGUUACAGACUGACCCCUCCCCCCGUGUCACGUUACAGACUGACCUUUCCCCCAGUGUCACGUUACAGACUGACCUUUCCCAGUGUCACGUUACAGACUGACCCCUCCCCCCGUGUCACGUUACAGACUGACCUUUCCCCCAGUGUCACGUUACAGACUGACCUUUCCCCAGUGUCACGUUACAGACUGACCUUUCCCCCAGUGUCACGUUACAGACUGACCUUUCCCAGUGUCACGUUACAGACUGACCCCUCCCCCCGUGUCACGUUACAGACUGACCUCUCCCCAGUGUCACGUUACAGACUGACCUUUCCCCCAGUGUCACGUUACAGACUGACCUUUCCCAGUGUCACGUUACAGACUGACCCCUCCCCCCGUGUCACGUUACAGACUGACCUUUCCCCCAGUGUCACGUUACAGACUGACCCCUCCCCCCGUGUCACGUUACAGACUGACCUUUCCCCCAGUGUCACGUUACAGACUGACCCCUCCCCCCGUGUCACGUUACAGACUGACCUUUCCCCCGUGUCACGUUACAGACUGACCUUUCCCAGUGUCACGUUACAGACUGACCUCUCCCCCGUGUCACGUUACAGACUGACCUUUCCCCCGUGUCACGUUACAGACUGACCCCUCCCCCCGUGUCACGUUACAGACUGACCUUUCCCCCGUGUCACGUUACAGACUGACCUUUCCCAGUGUCACGUUACAGACUGACCUCUCCCCAGUGUCACGUUACAGACUGACCUUUCCCCCAGUGUCACGUUACAGACUGACCUCUCCCCAGUGUCACGUUACAGACUGACCUUUCCCCCGUGUCACGUUACAGACUGACCUUUCCCAGUGUCACGUUACAGACUGACCCCUCCCCCCGUGUCACGUUACAGACUGACCUUUCCCAGUGUCACGUUACAGACUGACCUCUCCCCAGUGUCACGUUACAGACUGACCUUUCCCCCGUGUCACGUUACAGACUGACCUUUCCCAGUGUCACGUUACAGACUGACCUUUCCCAGUGUCACGUUACAGACUGACCUUUCCCCCGUGUCACGUUACAGACUGACCUUUCCCCCAGUGUCACGUUACAGACUGACCUUUCCCCCGUGUCACGUUACAGACUAUAUUAUUUGUUUGAGGAAUUGAACAUGUCUUUUACCCACUAAAUAAAAUGAAUGAAGGACCUGA
This is a long non-coding RNA of Micropterus salmoides (largemouth bass), 5958 nucleotides long. RefSeq lists it as uncharacterized. The record is from RefSeq and is a predicted model, not a curated record. The transcript has 2 exons. NCBI's taxonomy places the organism in Eukaryota, Metazoa, Chordata, Actinopteri, Centrarchiformes, Centrarchidae.